RNAcentral lists this transfer RNA (73 nucleotides) under Babesia rodhaini. RNAcentral describes it as "tRNA-Arg". It matches the Rfam family "tRNA". Rfam says of the family: Transfer RNA (tRNA) molecules are approximately 80 nucleotides in length. Their secondary structure includes four short double-helical elements and three loops (D, anti-codon, and T loops). Lineage: Eukaryota; Apicomplexa; Aconoidasida; Piroplasmida; Babesiidae. The record is from RNAcentral.
AGAUUUAUAACUUAAUUAGAAAAAGUUUAUGGGUACGAACCAUAAAAUAAAGGUUAAAGUCCUUUUAAAUCUU